This 872-nucleotide long non-coding RNA is filed under the name Rattus norvegicus (Norway rat). RNAcentral's name for it is "long non-coding RNA NONRATT003149". Lineage: Eukaryota; Metazoa; Chordata; Mammalia; Rodentia; Muridae. The record is from RNAcentral.
AUUUUUUUCUACAGCCUGAGAAGGAGCACCACACAGGAAAGGGGAUUAUUUGAAGUGGACAGCAAAAGAAAUCCAGGCCAUCAACACCUUUGGUGAAAAGAAAUACUAGGACUUCGGUCUUGGGCCCAGGCCCACUGCUGACAGCAUGAUGGAAGGAUGCACUUGCGGUCUAGACUCCCCCUCCCGCCUCCUGGAGUGGGGGUGAGGCGGCGUGGGCAACGGUUGGGAAGCUGUCUGGAGGCCUCUUGCAGAGACAUCAGAAUGCUUUGUUAGAACAAGCGCUGGGGAUCCAUCCUGUGGCUCACCCUAUCAAGCUGAAACCGGAUGUUGCUGCCAAGUUCUUUGGAAGGCUAAACAUUGUUGCCCUUGAACAUCUGCGUCUGCAAAAAGUUCUAGAUGUCAACCUUGUGACUAUACUAAUAAAAUCCUUGAAAGGUGAACAGAGGACAAACUGUACCAAGCCUCUGGUCCAAUGGCAUCCUGGAGUGGAGGGGGCUGCUCUGUGCGUCCUGGAGGUCUCACCCUAACAUGCGUCAGGGCAGAGGAAGUCUUGAGAACCUUGUGGACUUAUCUGUGGCAUCUUGAGGUCCACAGCUCCAUGGCGUAGCUCCUCGGGGGCUCCUUUCAGGAACACCCUUCCUGCCUCACACUGCUUGGUUCUCUUGAACCUUGAUGAAAGCCUCCAUGACUCUGUCAAUGGUAAGAAGCCAGUAUCAUGUGACUACUGCCGUGUUCUGCUCUCUGUGCCAGAUGGAGCCUGUGCUACAGCGGCCACUGAUCACGAAGAACUCUUCCCGAGCUGUGCUAGUUAGUUGGGCUUUUGUGUUUGUGUUUAUAUGAGCCUAUGGGGGCAUUUUCAUUUGUUUUGUUGA